GAUGAACGCUGGCGGCGUGCUUAACACAUGCAAGUCGAACGAAGCAUUCCAUUUGAAAGUGAACCAGCUUGCUGGGGAACAAUCUCCCGGAAUGACUUAGUGGCGGACGGGUGAGUAACGCGUGGGUAACCUGCCUUAUACAGGGGGAUAACAGUUAGAAAUGACUGCUAAUACCGCAUAACCCGAUAGUACCGCAUGGUACAGUCGGAAAAGAUUUUAUCGGUAUAAGAUGGACCCGCGUCUGAUUAGCUAGUUGGUGGGGUAACGGCCCACCAAGGCGACGAUCAGUAGCCGACUUGAGAGAGUGAUCGGCCACAUUGGGACUGAGACACGGCCCAAACUCCUACGGGAGGCUGCAGUGGGGAAUAUUGCACAAUGGGCGCAAGCCUGAUGCAGCGACGCCGCGUGAGCGAUGAAGUAUCUCGGUAUGUAAAGCUCUAUCAGCAGGGAAGAUAAUGACGGUACCUGACUAAGAAGCACCGGCUAAAUACGUGCCAGCAGCCGCAGUAA
RNAcentral lists this ribosomal RNA (510 nucleotides) under uncultured bacterium. Its description in RNAcentral is "partial 16S ribosomal RNA". It matches the Rfam family "Bacterial small subunit ribosomal RNA", at positions 28 to 523 of the family's 1533-position model. The record is from RNAcentral.